RNAcentral lists this transfer RNA (73 nucleotides) under Felis catus (domestic cat). It matches the Rfam family "tRNA". From Rfam's summary of the family: Transfer RNA (tRNA) molecules are approximately 80 nucleotides in length. The record is from Rfam by way of RNAcentral. Lineage: Eukaryota; Metazoa; Chordata; Mammalia; Carnivora; Felidae.
CUCUGACUGGCUCAGGUGGUAAAGCAUGAGACUCUUGAUCUCGGGGUUGUGAGUUCAAAUCCCACGUUGGGUG